GGAUGCGAUCAUACCAGCACUAAAGCACCGGAUCCCAUCAGAACUCCGAAGUUAAGCGUGCUUGGGCGAGAGUAGUAUUAGGAUGGGUGACCUCUUGGGAAGUCCUCGUGUUGUAUUCC
This 119-nucleotide ribosomal RNA is filed under the name Triticum aestivum (bread wheat). The record is from RNAcentral. Lineage: Eukaryota; Viridiplantae; Streptophyta; Magnoliopsida; Poales; Poaceae.